GACGAACGCUGGCGGCGUGCCUAACACAUGCAAGUCGAACGGAAAGGCCCUGCUCUUGUGGGGCGCACGAGUGGCGAACGGGUGAGAAACACGCGAGUAACCCGCCCCUGACUGUGGGAUAACUUCAGGAAACUGGGGCUAAUACCGGAUAGGAGCUCCUGCUGCACGGUGGGGGUUGGAAAGUUUCGGCGGCAGGGGAUGGACUCGCGGCUUAUCCGCUUGUUGGUGGGGUAGGGGCUGACCAAGGCUUUGACGGGUAGCCGGCCUGAGAGGGUGACCGGCCACAUUGCGCCUGAGAGACGGACCAGACUCCUACGGGAGGCAGCAGUGGAGAAUAUUGCGCAGUGGGCGGGAGCCUGAUGCAGCGGCGCCGCGUGCGGGAUGACGGCCUUCGGGUUGUGAACCGCUUUCGCCUGUGACGAAGCGUGAGUGACGGUAAUGGGUAAAGAAGCACCGGCUAACUACGUG
RNAcentral lists this ribosomal RNA (468 nucleotides) under uncultured bacterium. RNAcentral's name for it is "partial 16S ribosomal RNA". It matches the Rfam family "Bacterial small subunit ribosomal RNA", at positions 28 to 507 of the family's 1533-position model. The record is from RNAcentral.